Long non-coding RNA from Mesocricetus auratus (golden hamster), 298 nucleotides. RefSeq lists it as uncharacterized. The transcript is spliced from 3 exons. Lineage: Eukaryota; Metazoa; Chordata; Mammalia; Rodentia; Cricetidae. The record is from RefSeq and is a predicted model, not a curated record.
UUCCCAUGGGUGAGCCCUUUUCAGGAACUUAUUGCUCCGCAGACUGUCUGAGCUGUGGCCCCACAUGCUGACUUAAAGCCUAUGAAAUGAGAAAACUGUCUUCUUGGUUACAUUUUGUGUGGAAGUCUCCAGUGUUGGCAGAGGAUUUUGUUUCCAUUGUUUGCUUGUCAAGAUCACACAGAACUGAGUCAUAAGGGAAGUGCCCCGUUGCUGACAAGGACUUUGCCAGCAAGAAAGUCAUCACCAGGCAUGGCUUCUCAACCGUGUACCUCCAGGACCAUGAGACGAAAUAAACCCU